This 542-nucleotide long non-coding RNA is filed under the name Cricetulus griseus (Chinese hamster). RNAcentral's name for it is "lncRNA (ENSCGRG00015032298.1)". Lineage: Eukaryota; Metazoa; Chordata; Mammalia; Rodentia; Cricetidae. The record is from RNAcentral.
UUCUGGCACACGUUUCAGGAAGUCCAUCUGCUCCUGCUGUUCCUCUGACCUUUUGUCAGAACCCUCCCUAAACUGGAAAGAAACUGCCAGAAAUAAGCUAAAGCCAAACCAACUUAGACGCUUAUCUUCAAACCAAGUCAAAUUUGCAAGUCCUAGGCUAGGCCCUGAUAAUGAAUUCAGAACACAGGAAAUUUACCAUUUGGCUGUCUGAAAAUAGAAUUCCACUACAGAGACACCUCUCCCACAAAGGAAAAAAGAGGCUGGACUUUUCAUCUUCUUCACACUAUUGACAUUAAUACUCUAUAUUAAUAUGACAAGGGAAGGAGCUGGGGUGACUGAUGCUUCGCCUGAGGUCCUACAGCGUUAACACUGAAGGUGAAACUGAUUCCUUCCUGGCUUCACAGCCCAUGUACUUCAUUCUAGAGUAAGCUUCAAUUGUUGUGUUAAAAUUUUAUGUCGGUAUGCAAAAAGUAUAUUACACAAGCAUGUCUGUAUUUCUGAUUACAGAGUUUUACUUUGUUUCGUCCAUAAACAUUUCCUGG